This 353-nucleotide ribosomal RNA is filed under the name uncultured Fusibacter sp. RNAcentral's name for it is "bacterial SSU rRNA". It matches the Rfam family "Bacterial small subunit ribosomal RNA", at positions 1032 to 1382 of the family's 1533-position model. Lineage: Bacteria; Bacillati; Bacillota; Clostridia; Eubacteriales; Fusibacteraceae. The record is from RNAcentral.
AGACAGGUGGUGCAUGGUUGUCGUCAGCUCGUGUCGUGAGAUGUUGGGUUAAGUCCCGCAACGAGCGCAACCCUUGUGUUUAGUUUGCAAACAGGUCAAGCUGUGCACUCUAGACAGACUGCCGUGGACAACACGGAGGAAGGUGGGGAUGACGUCAAAUCAUCAUGCCCCUUAUGAUCUGGGCUACACACGUGCUACAAUGGCCGGUACAACGGGCAGCGAAGGAGCGAUCCGGAGCGAAUCCUAAAAAAGCCGGUCCCAGUUCGGAUUGCAGGCUGAAACUCGCCUACAUGAAGUUGGAGUUGCUAGUAAUCGCGAAUCAGAAUGUCGCGGUGAAUGCGUUCCCGGGUCUU